UACGGGGGGGGCAAGCGUUGUUCGGAAUUACUGGGCGUAAAGGGCUCGUAGGUGGCCAACUAAGUCAGACGUGAAAUCCCUCGGCUUAACCGGGGAACUGCGUCUGAUACUGGAUGGCUUGAGUUCGGGAGAGGGAUGCGGAAUUCCAGGUGUAGCGGUGAAAUGCGUAGAUAUCUGGAGGAACACCGGUGGCGAAGGCGGCAUUCUGGACCGAUAUUGACGCUGAGGAGCGAAAGCCAGGGGAGCAAACGGG
RNAcentral lists this ribosomal RNA (253 nucleotides) under uncultured bacterium. RNAcentral's name for it is "partial 16S ribosomal RNA". It matches the Rfam family "Bacterial small subunit ribosomal RNA", at positions 524 to 776 of the family's 1533-position model. The record is from RNAcentral.